AGUCGCCGCGGUAAUACGUAGGGUGCGAGCGUUAAUCGGAAUUACUGGGCGUAAAGCGUGCGCAGGCGGUUUUGUAAGACAGGCGUGAGAUCCCCGGGCUCAACCUGGGAAUGGCGCUUGUGACUGCAAAGCUAGAGUGCGGCAGAGGGGGAUGGAAUUCCGCGUGUAGCAGUGAAAUGCGCAGAUAUGCGGAGGAACACCGAUGGCGAAGGCAAUCCCCUGGGCCUGCACUGACGCUCAUGCACGAAAGCGUGGGGAGCAAACAGGAUUAGAUACCCCCGUAGUCCCUGUCUCUUAUACA
Molecule: ribosomal RNA, 301 nt
Filed under: uncultured bacterium
Lineage: Bacteria
Description: partial 16S ribosomal RNA
Rfam family: Bacterial small subunit ribosomal RNA
Source: RNAcentral